CAGCUACUUGGCCAGAGGAGGAACAAAUCAAAUUCUCUCACUGCAGACAGGACUGCACUCUCUGCCUUCUUUCCCUCCAGUCAUGCAGGAGUAUUGAGGGCCUGGCAGGAUUGAAAUCCCUGCAGAAACCCAUCAGGCAGGAAAUCAUAUUUUCAGACUUCCUGUGGCUGACACAGCCUGGGUAGGUCAUGCUGUGCUGUAUCACAUCCCACAGCAUGUGGCAGAGUGUGAGCUUCCCACGGUGAUGCUCCACAAUGGAGCAGUUUCCAUAUCCCCAAAGACUGGUGAUAGUGGAAGAAAAGUGCAUACAGCAGGACAAGAGAAGAAAGAUGAGCUAUCUGCUGUGCAAAGCCAGAACACCCGGCCGGAGCUGGAGAGACACACGACUGUGUCACACAAAGCAAUCCCCUUCCGGGCUAGUUCAGUCCUGCUUGCAUCUACCCAGUUGUGCUCAUGGAUUCCUGCAAAGGAAAAAACUCAAUGCUCCUCUGUGCAG
RNAcentral lists this long non-coding RNA (496 nucleotides) under Taeniopygia guttata (zebra finch). RNAcentral's name for it is "lncRNA (ENSTGUG00000029205.1)". The record is from RNAcentral. Lineage: Eukaryota; Metazoa; Chordata; Aves; Passeriformes; Estrildidae.